RNAcentral lists this ribosomal RNA (468 nucleotides) under uncultured bacterium. Its description in RNAcentral is "partial 16S ribosomal RNA". It matches the Rfam family "Bacterial small subunit ribosomal RNA", at positions 28 to 507 of the family's 1533-position model. The record is from RNAcentral.
GACGAACGCUGGCGGCGUGCUUAACACAUGCAAGUCGAACGGAAAGGCCCUGCUUUUGUGGGGUGCUCGAGUGGCGAACGGGUGAGUAACACGUGAGUAACCUGCCCUUGACUUUGGGAUAACUUCAGGAAACUGGGGCUAAUACCGGAUAGAAGCUCCUGCUGCAUGGUGGGGGUUGGAAAGUUUCGGCGGUUGGGGAUGGACUCGCGGCUUAUCAGCUUGUUGGUGGGGUAGUGGCUUACCAAGGCUUUGACGGGUAGCCGGCCUGAGAGGGUGACCGGCCACAUUGGGACUGAGAUACGGCCCAGAAUCCUACGGGAGGCAGCAGUGGAGAAUAUUGCACAAUGGGCGGAAGCCUGAUGCAGCAACGCCGCGUGCGGGAUGACGGCCUUCGGGUUGUAAACCGCUUUCGCCUGUGACGAAGCGUGAGUGACGGUAAUGGGUAAAGAAGCACCGGCUAACUACGUG